GCUAAUACCCGAUGUGCCUUAGGGUGAAAGAUUAAUUGCCUGUAGAUGAGCUUGCGUCAGAUUAGCUAGUUGGUGGUGUAAGGGACCACCAAGGCGAUGAUCUGUAGCUGGUCUGAGAGGAUGAUCAGCCACACUGGGACUGAGACACGGCCCAGACUCCUACGGGAGGCAGCAGUGGGGAAUUUUCCGCAAUGGGCGAAAGCCUGACGGAGCAAGACCGCGUGGGGGACGAAGGUUUGUGGAUUGUAAACCCCUUUUGAUAGGGAAGAUGAUGACGGUACCUAUCGAAUCAGCAUCGGCUAACUCCGUGCCAGCAGCCGCGGUAAUACGGAGGAUGCAAGCGUUAUCCGGAAUUAUUGGGCGUAAAGCGUCCGCAGGUGGUUGGUCAAGUCUGUUGUUAAAGAGCGGAGCUAAACUUCGUAAGGGCGAUAGAAACUGACUGACUAGAGUUUGGUAGGGGUAGAGGGAAUUCCCAGUGUAGCGGUGAAAUGCGUAGAUAUUGGGAAGAACACCGGUGGCGAAAGCGCUCUACUGGGCCUGAACUGACACUGAGGGACGAGAGCUAGGGGAGCGAAUGGGAUUAGAUACCCCAGUAGUCACGCG
Molecule: ribosomal RNA, 603 nt
Filed under: Cyanobacterium sp. PBJ1
Lineage: Bacteria; Bacillati; Cyanobacteriota; Cyanophyceae; Chroococcales; Geminocystaceae
Description: bacterial SSU rRNA
Rfam family: Bacterial small subunit ribosomal RNA
Source: RNAcentral